Molecule: unclassified non-coding RNA, 348 nt
Filed under: Hevea brasiliensis (rubber tree)
Lineage: Eukaryota; Viridiplantae; Streptophyta; Magnoliopsida; Malpighiales; Euphorbiaceae
Source: RNAcentral
GUCCAAUAGAGUUCUUUCUUCUUUUUUUUUUUUACAGACAAACAUAGAACUUUUUAUUGCAUUUAAGAUGCUCUGUUGUGUAGAGGAAAAAAAAGAAGAAAGAACUCUAUUGGACACUCCAUGAGCUACAGUUGACAUUCUCAGCACAACCGCUAGCAAGCAUAAUUUACAUUAUACAAAUCCAUGCAGUUAAUAAAAAUACAAAUUCUCAAGUGUAUGGAAAACUUGCAUUGCAUUGCAUGUGCAAAAAAAGAAAAAAAAAAAAAAGCAAGCAUCUACUCGCAUCUACUCUCAGAUGGUGGUAUGUGGGCCCUGUUGUCCAUGUUCUUCCAUUUUCUUUCUCAUCUU